UCGUUUGAUUUCUUUUUUCAAACAUAACAAAUGUCAAACAUUUCAAAAAUGUUUGUUAAAAAUCGUUUUACAUCGCCGAAAAUUGUUACGUUUAUUCCAUAAUUUUGUAACUCAAUAGAUUUUGUUUUGUGUUUUGAUAUGGAAUGUGAGGAAGAGGAUAACCAAGUUGGAGAACCUGCAGUGAAUUCGAUAAUACUAGAUUAUUACAAAAAGUUUGGUCGCAAGCGGGAUUUAGAGCAGUAUUUUUCUUUAUCGACAGCCCAAGGUGAUGUUAGGGACCCUACAGGUGUAUUUUGGAAAAACAUGAAGUCACAUAGUGAUUCGUCAGAUUCUGACGGAAAAAAGAGCUACUCCUCUCAGGAACUUUGUCGAAUAUCGAUAAAAUGUUCAGUGCCUGAGCCUUCUAGUUCUCAAGAUGAAAACACAAAAACCAAAUCAGAUAGUAUUUCUCCACCUAUCAUCACUGAAGAUUUGGUGGUUGAUAAUUCAAGGCAUGAUGAUGAGGAGUCUGGGAAGUCUGAAGAUGAACAUUCUCAGAAAUCUUUGGAUGUGAUGCUUGACACAUCAGCGAAUAAACCUCUAUCUCCAACAAGCAGCGUAACAUCUCAACGGAAACUGGAAUGGGAUUCCCUUGCAGAUGUUGGCUAUGGUAAUGAGAGUGAUAGAAAGACCUCUGCAUCAAGCUUGAGCACUUUAGAAAGAAUGGCAUUACAUCAACAAUACUCUAAUAAUGAUACAAAAGAAUCCCUUGGGCCUCCAACAGCUCAAUCUACUCCUUUUGAUGAAACAGACAAUAAAUCUAAAGCUAGGAAAGGAAUUGGAAGGAAGACAACAAAAUUCUAUAAGAAAGAUGUUGAUUUUGUUGAAGUAAAUGUACCUCAAGGUUCAAGUAAUGCUUCACAAGCUAUUAAUGUCAAUCUCACAAAGCAUAUAUCAUUCAAUGUUGAAAAAGAUGGUGGAGUAACUGUAGAAAACAUAAAAAAAGAUGUUAGUGUUUCACCUGAGAAGGUAUCAGUGGAAACAGAGGUAACUCCCCAAAUUAGGUUUGAUAAGGAAAUACAAACAUCUUUGACUAAAUCUAAAGAUAAAAGUACCAAUGAUACUUCCAAAACCAAACAAUUAACUAACCAAAAGGUACCAAUACUCAUUAGUUUAAAUACCUUAAAAAAUAGAUACAGAAAGAAGAAGAUAAGGAUUUCUAGAAGAAAGCUAAAGAUUCGCAAAAGAGAGAUUGUUAAGAGAUCUACUCCACCUAUCCAAGAAAGGAGUGGAGAGCAGCUGUCAGCAGCUGAGAGUUUUGAGUAUAUGCCUGGACAUAUUUACAAUCAAAAUCAUCUAAAAGGUAACCAGUCUAAAUCAGGAACCACUGUUGGAAACAAAUCAAGCCUGGAGUCCAGUGGUGGUCUCACAACUGAUUCUAGCAAAGGAUCAAAAAUUUCUUUUACCAAAGAUUUAGAAAAAAGUAUUGAUCUACUAAAAGCUGCUAUGCAAGGACGAUAUGAUGAUAAUAUCCUCAAAAAGAAGUUAGUUAAGCAAGUUGUUCAAAGACUACUUGAGACAAAAUACAGAGAUGAUGAUAGUACAACUGAUUUUUUGUCUGGGUUAAGCUUCAGUAGCAAAAAAAUAGGUUUGAGAGAUAGCAAUUCCACAAGUACAUCAGAUGCCAACAGUACUGCAACACGACCAAAGAAAUCAAUAUUAAGAAUGGACAAAUUUAAUGCAAGUGCAAUAGCCUCAACUUCACAAAGCGCGCCUAAUUUACCUGCCGCUUCCAAUAGCGAUAGACCUGUUAGAAUCGAUCUAGUUAAGCAUUUAACAUCAUCUAAUACAGAUACUGAAAUGUCUAGCAGAGAGAAGGUAUUCGACAAUUCGCUAACAAAGGCUACAUCGGAAGAAAUAUACAAGAAGUAUUUACAGGCAUUGAAGAGAGAGGAAGCAUACAAAAAACAUUUAAGGGACAAGGAAAUGUUUUUAAAACAGAAAUUGACGAAUUCUGAUUCUGCAUUUAAGGUACCAAACAGACUUGAUGUAAAUGUAAAUAAGCGAUUGAAGGAUGUUAUGAAAGAUUUAACUAGGAACAAUUAUGAUGAUGGGUCUGGAGACGCUAGUAAACUUGAAGGUGGCUCGGACAAUGCUGACUUGGAGAGAUAUGCUUCUCUCAAAGGACAUCAAAGCCACUCAGUAUUUACUCUCUCCUCUGGAAACUCUGAAUGUGCAAAUAAAAAACUAUUGAAAAAGAAACUGCAAAAUGAUAUUAAGGAUCUUUGCAAACCUGGUCCAAGUCAUUACUGUUGCUGUCCACAUCAUUCAGCUAAUAUUAAAAUUGGUGUGACAGAUAGUUCAGUUCAAGUGAAUAUAAAAGAUCAGUUUGAAGCUAAAGAAAUUGAAACGAAAGAAAACAAGGAUAAUCGGCAGAGUUGUCACGAGGAAUCGUCUCAAAACACGGCGCGCAUUGUAUCAGAUAAUGUUACUGGUGACAUAAAAUAUGUUUGUUUGUGCACAGGUGUAAAGUCACAAGAAGUUCAAGAUAAUUUUUUGAUAUAUAAAUGUUCCCGUUUAACAAACAGGGGCGUCCAAGAAGGAGAUUCGCUGUCCAGAGCCUCCAAAAUUUGUGGUCAAAGUAUUGACGGCUUGGACGAGAAAAGUGAAACCACGUCUUCCAAGUCAUGUUUAAGGCAGAAAGUGGUAGAUAACAUUAGCUCAGAUAAUAUACCACUGAAAAGAUCAUCUAAAUCGUCCCAAACUAAUUUACUCAUAAAGAUGGUCUGUGGUCAUACAAGUGAUAAAACCGCGACUUCGUCAGGGUCUAAAAGAGAACUAAGCAAUUUAACAAAAAUCCCGUCUACAGAAUCUAAAAAUGAUAAGCAGUUCAUACAUGAAGCUACAAGAUGCAUUCAAACAGAAAUAAGUAUUAAUCCUCAAAUAGCAGAUCCUUCCUUAUCUGACAUAAAUAUAGUCAGUGAAGCAGAUUGUGUUAAAUUGAUUAGUGAACAAUAUAAGGAAGUUAAAAAUCUAAUUUCUAAGACAGAUUUACGCAGUCGAGAGUGGCAAAGUGACGCGGAAGCUGGCACUAGUACUGAGACUGGCAGAAAUCGUGCUACUUCUGAAGAUAGUGUGGAGGAAUUACUUGAAGAUGUAAGAGACAUACCAUUUUUUGAAAGUGAUGCCAACAAACACGCAUGUGAUCUUCUAAAAAUUUCAAAACAAGAUGUUGUUACUGAGAAUUUUACCAUACCAAUACAAGGUACAAAUAUGAAAUUAAUGGUAAGCAUAGGUUCUAAUGAACGAAGGGAAUUAAAUGAUGAAAAAAUUAUUCAAGAGUCAUCUAAAGGCGUUGGUACUGAGCAGCGUCUUUUCGUUGAAGAGUCUACAUCGUUGUUAGAGGAGUGCUCUAAAGGCGUGCAAUAUCGAAAUGACGCAAACGUGCUAACAGAUAAAAGUUCAAAUGCAUAUAUAAAAGAUAUGGAUAAUAAGAGUAACAGUAUUUCGGGCAAUAAAAAUAUACCCACAUUAAAAGGCUGUUUAGUUAAUACUUGCAUGACACAAGAUGAACCGAAAUAUAAUACAUAUCCGAUGAAUGUUGCGUCAUUCGAAAAGAAACCUUUUCUUCGAUCUAAUACUGAUACUGGAGUUUUGGGUUCCAGUUCUAUUCAAACGGACAGUAUCAAUAAAAAAGACAUGAGCACUCAACAAGAUUUUGCGUUUGGAGAUACAUGCGUAAAACCUAAACAUGAUGAGCUUACACAGGACAUUGUAGUUCAAAAGUCAAAAGGCAAUCAAAUAAUUAGUGAAAAUAUCUUAACGGAUACUGUAUAUGGUAAACAGAUAGGGGUGCAAACUGACGCCACGAAAGACAAUUCUGAUGGUUGUCGCAAUGAGAAAGAUAAAAUCAAAGAAAGGAAUAAUAUACCACAAAAACCACCAUGUAAUUGUGAGCAGCAAUUACAAAAUACAGAAGUUUUUACAAAAUCCAAGAUACCAGCAAAUUACAAAGUUCAACAAUCAUGUUCAGGAACAGCCACUGAUAGUCAUGAAUCUGAGAAAUCUAAAAGUACAACUAACGAAGAAUGCAUUCGAUCUUUUAAAAAUAAAAAGAAUGAAGAAGCUUACAAAGAUCCAGUUUUGAGCAUGAUAAAAAAUAUCACAAAGCGGUAUUCCAAGGACGACAUAGAACAGAGUAAGAGGAAGAAAUGUUUCAAAGAAAUCGUAACAGUUCUGAACUAUCUUUUAGACACUGAUGAAUCUACAGAUCGCGAACCCAAACCUACAACCAGUUGUACUGAAAGUAGUUCUGAAACUAUCAAACCAGAGAAGGAAAAGGCAGAAUGCUGUCAAACAAAAACAUUGGUGGAUAAAGCUGUACAAUCAUCUAAGAAUAAAGGAUGUCGAAGUACAGUAUCAUCAGAAUUACCAACAUCAACUGAUAUUCCUGGCACAUCUUCGGAUUCUGCCACUUGUAAGGUACUGAGUAAGAUCAAGAAGGAAUGCGAAAAGUACCAUCAAAAGCGAUGCAAAUCACACACUGCGAAAAAAUGCGAAAUUUCUAGUACCACGUCGGUGAGCUGUGAUCAAUGCCGUCGCGUGCACCACUGCCCCUGCCGAUAUCAUAAAUGCAAACAUCAUAGAUCCAAAUCUAAUGCAGAGAAGGCCCAGAAAAAAUCGGUCGCUUACAACUUAAUUAUACAAACUUCGGAAAGUAUGAUUAGUGAGGAAACUUGUGACAAUAAGUGCCGGCCAUUACAGAAUAUAAUAGUCAAGGUCCCGUCUAAAAAGAAAGUAGAAAAGGUGCCUUUUAAAGAGGUAGAGAGUAAGAUAGAGAAACGGAUGUAUUGCAGUCCACGGUGUGACAAGUCGCAAAGGUCUAGGAGCUUGCCGAAUGAAUGUGACAUGUCAAGUAACGAUGAUUGUCUGAAAAGGGCCCAGGCGUGCACCGUGCGUGAAUAUUUGGAGAUAAAUCGGCCCGAUUUUGUUGAGAAAUGUUCUCAACGGCAGAAUAAUUUGAAGGUCAUCAGUGAAUCAAGAGAUCAAGACGCGACACCACGUUUGAAAAUGGUUGUCGUCCACACGCCCAAUUGUGUGGGACCCAUGGCCAAUAUGUACUGUACGGGAGGUGUACCGUAUUAUAACCAAUGCUAUGACCAAUGUGGCCAAAAUAUACAAAGUGAGGUAACAAGAAUUGAGCAAAUGAGCGGGCUGCCCACCGGGACCUGUUGUCAAUGCACCUGGACCAACAACUGCCGCUGAACGCGCUCAAUGUUCAAGAAAUACGCCAUCUAGCGGCACAUUUCGGCAUCGAUACAGCACGGAAAAACCGUGCUCCAAAAUUUAUAAGUGAAAGGGAUAUGAAAAAACAUUCGGAGAAAAUUUAUAAAUCACUACCGGAAGUUGUCAGAAAGAAGGAGGAAAUUAAAAAGGAAAAUAUCAAAAAGACUAAUUUGCUGAUGGCGAACAUAUUCAAAAAGAAUCUCCAAAAGAAAACACUGCGCGGUGCGGUGAACCUUUCAAAUUAUAGCACUGUCAUCAAAAUAUGACGAAAAACGAAUACCAAAUUUGACGAAAUGUGUUCAUACAUUAACACUUGUUAUGCAUUUUCAAUUGAUGUAUUUUUAUAAUGAUUGUUUACUUGUUUUGUCGUUUUUGAAUUAAAUAUUUGUGAAGAAAA
Molecule: RNA transcript, 5662 nt
Organism: Manduca sexta (tobacco hornworm)
Lineage: Eukaryota; Metazoa; Arthropoda; Insecta; Lepidoptera; Sphingidae
Exons: 8
Source: RefSeq, a predicted model, not a curated record